GCUGGGCGCAGUGGCACAUGCCUGUAGUCCCAGCUACUCUGGAGGCUGGGGUGGGAGGAUUGCUUGAGCCCAGGAAUUCUGAGCUGUGGUGCGCUAUGCCAAUCCUGUGUCCUCACUAAGUCCGGCAUCAAUAUGGUGACCUCCCGGGAGCGGGGUAACACCACCAGGUUGCCUAAGGAGCGGUGAACUGGCCCAGGUCAGAACAGAGCAGGUCAAAACUCCCUUGCUAAUCAGUAGUGGGAUCGCGCCUGUGAAUAGCCACUGCACUCCAGCCUGGGCAACAUAGUGAUACCCUGUCUCU
Molecule: signal recognition particle RNA, 301 nt
Filed under: Aotus nancymaae (Ma's night monkey)
Lineage: Eukaryota; Metazoa; Chordata; Mammalia; Primates; Aotidae
Description: Metazoan signal recognition particle RNA (ENSANAG00000015229.1)
Rfam family: Metazoan signal recognition particle RNA
About the family: The signal recognition particle (SRP) is a universally conserved ribonucleoprotein.
Source: RNAcentral